GCACGACAAUAAUCAAUGAAUAUCCAGUAUAAAAUGGUAUGCAAUACAAAGGAAUGGCUAUACACAUUUCAAUGGCUAAACAGCAUUUUCUGUCAAGACACGAUUUAUGAGAGAGAAAGCGAAACUUUUCACAGUGAAGGGCCAUAAAACCCUGGCUAACAGUUAGAAUAACCCUUUCAAUGCUGGCUAGACCUCCUAGAUAAUUAAGAUCUAUUCUUAUGUAAUUUUAAAUAAAAUAACAUUUAAACCAGUUCAUUAGUCAUUUCCUGGAACCAUCCAAUAAGAGAAUCUACCAUAUUAUAUAAGCAGAGUUUAAUUUGUCUAAAAGAUAUCUAUCUUAUAUUAGAGCAAAUCAAUACACCUGGAUAAAAACAGCGGUAUGCUAACACGUGAUACUAUCACAUCAAUAUAUAAUUAUUCUUAAGUCCACCUGCAGAAUGGAAUGUUUAUAACUAUAUAUUCUUUAGUUAACUAGGAUUUCUUAAUAUGGAAAUCUAACCGUGCUUUAUCCAGUCAUAUCUCAUGCCAUUAAUAAAUUUUAAUUAAUUUAAUUAAUUAAAUGAAACCAGUAUAAUUACCAGUUGAGUAGAUAUUUCAUCCGAUUGGUAGAUAGUCUCAGGAACUUAUUUGGAUGUCUGUAGGUGCAUGAGUUAUGGUGAAAGGUGGUGUUGGUUAGAAAGUCAGUAUAAUUCUAAGUGUUAGAGUUUUAAGAGUAGAGUGUUAGUCUCAGAUGUUGUCCUGGGUUUCUCUGCAUGUCCGAUUUGGAGUCCCCAAACUUCCAAUUCCUCUCUCCUCUUUUUCCUUCUUUGCAUACCCUCUAUCUUCCCUUUGUCCUAACUUUUAAAGGGCCAGACUCUCUGUACGUCAUCAGUUGAUAACCCAAUAGAAGCACUAGAGGUGUGCUUACCUAGGGAUCGCAAUUUAGGUAUUUGGUCUAUAGAGGGCAGUCUUGUCCCACUAAACAUACCUAUCCAGGAAAGAGUUAACUUUUCUUGGUGGCUAUUUUGACGUCAUUUUGGCCUAUCUUGAUAGUGGCCAUAACUUACGUUUCCUUUCAGAUCAAACAGUUUCUUUAAGUUUUGUCCAGACUAUGUGUCUGGCAAAUUCUGAGUUUUGACCCGUAACUUACAAUGGGACCUUAUACAUAUAGACAGUAAAAUUUUAUUAUUUAAUCUUCUCUGUCACAAUUGUCUGGGUUUAGAAUUGAUUAUAUUCCAUUAGCAUUUAGACAGUCUGUCCAACCCCCGUUCUCCUUAUCACUUGGUUUGUUUAUACUAUGCAUUCCUUUAGCUCUGGCAAAGUGGUUAGUUUUACAGAUAGAAAUCUUGUGUCUUUUUGUUAACUUGGAAAUAACAAAAUGGAGUCUGCUCUGUUCAGAGUGACUCAGAAUAUACACUUUUAAUUUCUAUCAUAGCACAAGAUGUCUGCCAAUAUAAAUACCCUGACAUGUAUCAGAGGCACAUGGUGAGAACAAUGGAUGAAGCACAUGGUGAGAACAAUGGAUGGCGGCUCCUCUCCCCCGCAGCAGCCUAGCCCACCAAGGGGAGGUUAUAAACCCCAUGGUCUCUGUGCCCAAACCACAGGGUGUAGGGACAGUCGGUCCUGUUCCCCUGCAGCAGGGCUGUUUAUCCAAAGGGGAGACAGCCUGUCUUCCCCUCCAGCAGCAGACCCAGGUCUGGAGUGAGGAGCCUACUACGCCGUUCCCUCACCUGGGCUCCAACCAGGCUACUCCCGUGGUAGCGCUCACACCAGGGAAGAGUACCGCUGGUCUCUGCCCACCCAGCAACCCAUCGAUCCAGAGUGCUAGUACCCCCCAGAGCCAAGGUGGAGCUCC
Molecule: non-coding RNA, 1834 nt
Organism: Pelobates cultripes (western spadefoot toad)
Lineage: Eukaryota; Metazoa; Chordata; Amphibia; Anura; Pelobatidae
Source: the annotation of a GenBank genome assembly